This 5140-nucleotide long non-coding RNA is filed under the name Marmota monax (woodchuck). The record is from RNAcentral. Lineage: Eukaryota; Metazoa; Chordata; Mammalia; Rodentia; Sciuridae.
CAUACUGUUACCGCUGUUGACUGGUGACGAGUUCUUGCUUCCCCAAUGUUGAAGAAUAACACCAAAGAAGCACGCCGAGGCAAGGUCAGAGUAGAAAUUAGAAGUUUAUUAAAGGACAGCAGAAAAGACUUCUCCCGGAGGAAGAAGGGGACCCAAGAGGUGGAAUCCGUGGAAGUGCGGUUGUUUCCCCUUUUUAUAGUUUUGGUGAUGGAAUGUAGGUUGGAAGGCCCGAGGGGUGGGACACAGGUGGGCCAAAGAAGUAAUCUGGUCAGGAAGGACUUCUCAGUCAGCACCUUUUUGCUGGGGGCUGUUCAUUAACAUUUCUUUGAGGUGGACUUUGGCCUAGGGCCUUUUAGGACUUCAUUAACAUUCCUUGAGUUGUCCUGCGUUUCCCGGAAUCAUUGCCAGCAUGGCCUCCAUUUUAGAUUUCACUCGGUAUUAGACCCGAUUUACCUAACUACACUGACUACCUAACUUUAAAUCUGGCUUCAAUACCAUAUUUUCUAUAUAUUUUAGUCUAUCUUUUAGGAAGUAGAUAUCACAAGGACUAGACUAAAAGACAAAUUCAAAGAAGGUUUAACCUGGCUAGAUGAUAGUAAUUCAAUUUUAAAGGAAAUUAUAUGCAUACAUAUGUGUGCAUGAACACACGCUUAUUUAUGUAUAUGAUUAUCUAGUUUGUUUAUGCAAUACAUAUGUGAAGGUAUGUAUUAUGUAAAGUUAAUAUAUGUUGGUAUAAUAAAAACAUAAAUAUGUAGUAAAACCAUAUAAAUAUGCCUAUUUUCCUUCAUUAUUCAUUAUGUAAUAUUCUACUACAUAUUUUUCAUUUGAGUUUUAGAGAGGGUGUAUGGGUUUGAUUGAUUUACAAUGUUACUUUUACAAUCAUGUUUUCCCUUCAGUCAUAUAAAGAAGCUCAAAUUUGAAGUAUUUGUAUCUUUGCACAUAAUUGUGAGGGUGUGUUAUUUUAUAAAUAACAGGAAACAACUGUGCAAUAUGUCUAUCAUACUCUAUAUUUAAGGAAUACUGCAAUAUGCAAAAUAAUUGCAUUAACAAUUUGUUAAAACCAUUACAGUACUAGAGUUUUUAUUUAAAAUUUGUUUCACCCAAUCUCUGAAAGUUUACUUUGAAAUAUAGGAAAUAGUUUAAAACAGAUCCAAGUGUUCAGAUUUGAAAUUCAGUGACAAAUUAUUUGUUACACAAUAACUGAUUCAUUUGGAAAUUCAUGAAUGGGUCAUGUGUUUUAAGAAAAUUCUAGUAGUUCCCACAGAGGAAGUGGAUCAGGAAAUGGCAAGCAUCCACACUUUCAUUUACUGAUUUUCUCAAUUUGGGUGUAAUUUCACAUUAAACCUCCAAAUUCUACAUGUUAACUCAAAAUAAUUUUUACAAGUUUACAAGAUGCCUUCAUAGUUUUAAUAAAUUAUUUCUGAAUUAGUAUAGGCAAAUUUUGGUUUUUUUUUUUUAAAAAUCAGAUUGAGAGAGAGAGAGAUUUUACUUCGAGAGUAGAGGUCACAUAUAUUUUCAUUACCAAGAAGGAUACUAUGAAAGAGCUAGCAUAUUAUACAAUCUUUGCUUUGAACAAAAUUGCUCUGGCAGAAUGCAUCAGUGAACACUCCAGACCAGGAUCCCUGUCUAUAGUCCACAUUCUUGUGGGAGAUUGCAUACAGUAAAUAGAAACUCUAAUUUAUUGUAUUUUAGAAGUUGCACAAUGAUAUGGAAGAUAAAAAGGUAGCAUACAUCCCAUUAAGAGAAAUUGACAAUGCUGAAGUAGAGGAUGCAGUUUCAGCUUGGUUGCAAUCCGAAACAAGUUGGUUGGGGGUAGUGAGGUUGGAGCAAACACUAGAAGAAAGUGGAGAAGUGAAGUCCAGGCUGUCAGCGGAGCAUUCUAGGCAGAGGCAAGCACCAAGGCAAAGCUCCAGAGGUGCAAACUUCCAUAAUAUGUUCCAGAAGCAGGAGACUGGCAGCUUGGCUAGGGCUGACCCAGGUAAGGAGACAGGGACUAGAUGAAGUGAACAAAUGAAGUUGAUCAUUCUGUGAUUUUGGAGCCAUUACAAAAAAGUUAAAUAGUGGCCUCCAAAAGAUGCCCAUAUAAAUCUGUAAGUAUGGACUUUUCUAGAUGUAAUUAAGGAUUUUGAGAGAUCAUAUUGGAUUUAGUGUGGGCUCUAAAUCCAGUGAUCAGUGAAGAAGACACAAUUCCACCAUAUGAUAGUUUUGAGAUCUCAACCAAUUUAAUUAACUUUUGUAAACACAGUUGUCAUUAUUCAUACAUAAAUGAAUUCCACAAAUCUUAUGAUAUAUGGAGAAAGUAAAUAAAAAUAAUUUGAAACAUCAGAAAGUCAUAAUGAUAUUAUUUUUCUUAACUCUGAUUAAUAGCCAUGAUAGGGCAUUUGGCCCCUGAAAGAGAAAUAAAGUGGUAGUCAAUCAGUUGCCUGGCAGGAAAGGAAUUAAGAAUAAAUGCUCUUGACACAUUUUUCCUUUGCCCUCUGAUCUCCCGCCUGUUAUUCUACUAGCCAAAUCCUCUGAUAGCCAGUGAUCAAGGAGCUCAGUGACAGAGUCCAUGAAGAUCACCUUCUAGAGACACUGAACAGAGAGAUGAGAGUGGAUCAGUAAGGGCAAAAGACAGCAUCCAGCCCAUAAUAAAAGUAGUCAAAGUAUGUAUUCUCUCUUUUUUCAUUAAUUUUUUUCAUUGAAUUAGCAAUCUUCUACAAAAUCAACCACAGUUCAUUAGACUAUUAAUGAUAAUCUUACUUACUACUUGAAACUUGGAAACUCCUAGCCUAAGACACUUUUGGGAAAUCUAAGAGGUCAACGCUAUCUUCAUAAUGACAGUAAGACUAUAUUUAUCUUUUGGUUGGGUUUGCAUUUGCACUGAAAAUGCAGAAGCAUUGGUGUCAUUACCUGCCUAUGAAUCACGCCAGAGGCAUCAAACUCUGGCCAUGAUAUUUUUCACCUUUAUGAGUUUUCUGUGUUUGUGGCAGUGGGGGAUAUCUCCUAAGAAUGAUGCAAUAAAAGUCAUUAAUUUCAUGAAAUCUUAAUUACUGCCCAGAAGCUUUGGAGGCUGAGAUAGUAAGAUCAUGAGUUCAAAGACAAUCUCAGUAAAAGCAAGGCACUAAGCAACUCAGAGAGACUCUGUCUCUAAAUAAAAUACAAAAAGUAGGGCUGGGGAUAUGGCUUAGUAGUUGAGUGCCCCUGAGUUCAAUCCCUGAUACCUAGGAAAAAAAACUCAGUUACUGAUUACAAUCAAUUUUAAUGAUGAAUGGGAAGUAUGCAUAAAACAUUCCCACUGUGUAUCAAGAUGAAUUGAUACUUCAGAAGAAAAGCCCUUGUGUGAAUGAGAUGCAUCCUGAACCAACCAAGCCAUUCCCUUCAAGGAAAACAACCGACAGCAUUUUUUGACAAUGAUAAAAUUCAAACUUUCUAGCAAAACCUCAAAUUUUGAAAGCAUUUAUCUCCACCAGGAUACUAAUAGUCUCCUAGCAUUUAAAGUCUUUUUAAAAGAGAUUUUUGGUGGUGUUACCAUGUGAUUAUUUGAUAUUACAUAAUGAAAUCUGUCAACCUUUACAAGUUCUACAUAACUCCAAAAACUGACGUUUUCAAAAUUACCAUUGACUGAUAUAACAAAAUAAUAUAUGUUCAAAAAAAAUUCUAAUUAGAAAGAGAGAUUAAACAAUGGAUUUAAAUGAAACUGAUUACAACAGGCUUAAUGACAUGAUUUAUUUUAAAAUACUGAAAACAAUUUUUAAUAAAUUAUCAUUUGUCAAUUUCUCUAUAAUAUCAAAGAAUACCAACGAUUAUCUGAAAGCUACGUAUUUUUCCAACUACAUAACAAUGUGAGGCAAGACUUUCCUUCUGAAGUUCAUUCAGAACAGAAUAUUGCAACAGAUGUUUCAUAUAUUAAGCAAAUAUUAAGAGGUAUUUGAAUUAGCAAUAUAAAAAAUUAGCAAACCAAAAAAAAGGCACACUUCUCAAUGAAUAGUUUGAAAUUUAUGUUUGUAUAAUAGGUUUUCAUAAAAAUACAAUUUUAUUGGUAAAAGUUUUCAUAAUAAUACCUGUUUUCUACAAGUAUUUUACUUAUAUUAACAUGUAUUGGUUAUUGUUAUUUGGAGAUUAUUAAUGAAUAAAAUUAUUUUCAGUUUUAAUUUCAAAUAUAGUAUCAAAAACAACAUUUCUCCAGAGCCCUCAAUAACAUUAAAGAAUAUGGAAGGGACCUGAGACCAUGAUGUCUAGACUAGCUAACAAAUGUUCAGAGAUUAUAUAUAAAAUUAUGUUAAAACUUCUAUUGCUGUUUGCCUAAGUAUAUUUAUAAUUUUAUAUUUGCAUAUUUUACACAGAAUACAUUUUGUACAUAAUUAUAAGAAAAAUACAAUUUCAACAUAAGGACAUAUGGCCUUUGGAUAAACUGCAUGAAGUCAAAGCACAAUAAUCAUUACUUUGUUUCAUAAAAGACUAGAUGAUUAUUUGUGUGUUUUAAAUAGUUUAGCACAUGAAAUUUGGUAUUUAUUCAAAUAGCCCACUAGAAAGUUUAUGAGAUUAUAAUUAAGAAGUUAAUUAUAUUUGUAAGAAUUUUUUUUCAAAUGGUCACACUUGACAAAUAAACAUUUACUGUUUAUAAUUUAUGAGUAUUUUAGGAGCCAACACUGAAUAAUUUUUCCCAAAUAUUCUGAAGAACAAUUACUAUUAAUUUUAAUUUUUUUGUGUGUAUGUAUAUUAUGGAAUGGUAUUUUAUGUAUUCAUGAUUUUAGAAAAUAAUAGUACAUUUAUCAAAAAUCAUAUUUAUUACACAAAUAUUCUGAGAAUGAAUAUCCUUAAGUUGGUCAUAGAUAUAUCAUAAUUCAGCCUUUUUAUUAUGCUUAAACUAUGGUAGCUAUUACUAAUUUACUGAGGAGAAAAAAAUAAUGUUAUAUCUUAUAUAAUUUAGUAGGAGCUCAAGUGACUAUGGCUUUCUUCAUUCAGUUCUCUUCUACCCUUAUACAUGCAGAGAACCCACAGAAUCAAGUGCCAUGGAAAAGCAAAGACUGUGCUCCUAGAGAAGUUAGGGAGAAAAGGUUGAUUUGUAUUUCAUGUCAGUAUUUUAACAUUUUUGUUUGAUUUGUGUUACCAUGUAAACCUUCAUGUCAUCAGAUAUUUCAAAAUGCUGAAACAAGAU